Molecule: ribosomal RNA, 458 nt
Filed under: Rhodococcus sp. enrichment culture clone Ding3
Lineage: Bacteria; Bacillati; Actinomycetota; Actinomycetes; Mycobacteriales; Nocardiaceae
Description: bacterial SSU rRNA
Rfam family: Bacterial small subunit ribosomal RNA
Source: RNAcentral
AGCCUGAACCAGCGACGCCGCGUGAGGGAUGAGCGGGAACGGGUUGUAAACCUCUUUGUGCCAUGACGAAGCGCAAGUGACGGUAGUGGGAGAAGAAGCACCGGCCAACUACGUGCCAGCAGCCGCGGUAAUACGUAGGGUGCGAGCGAAGUCCGGAAUUACUGGGCGUAAACACGUCGAAGGGCCAAAGUCGCGUCGUCUGUGAAAACCCGCAGCUCAACUGCGGGCUUGCAGGCGAUACGGGCAGACUCGAGUACUGCAGGGGAGACUGGAAUUCGUGGUGUAGCCGUGAAAUGCGCAGAUAUCAGGAGGAACACCGGUGGCGAAGGCGGGUCUCUGGGCAGUAACUGACGCUGAGGAGCGAAAGCGUGGCAACCGAACAGGAUUAGAUACCCUGGUAGUCCACGCCGUAAACGGUGGGCGCUACCUGUGGGUUUCCUUCCAGCGGUACCGUCGCG